This 360-nucleotide ribosomal RNA is filed under the name uncultured eukaryote. RNAcentral describes it as "partial 18S ribosomal RNA". It matches the Rfam family "Eukaryotic small subunit ribosomal RNA", at positions 1470 to 1796 of the family's 1831-position model. The record is from RNAcentral.
CCCUUAGAUGUUCUGGGCCGCACGCGUGCUACACUGGCUGUCUGAGAAGGUUUUGGUUGUGUGCGUCUGGACGCAAGCGUCCGGGCGCACCUCCUCUGCCGAGAGGCACGGGCAAUCCGCAAGGACAGCCGUGAUGGGGAUCGACUGUUGCAAUUUUCAGUCGUGAACGAGGAAUUCCUAGUAAACGCGAGUCAUCAGCUCGCAUUGAUUGCGUCCCUGCCCUUUGUACACACCGCCCGUCGCUACUACCGAUCGAAUGUCUUAGUGAGUGUUCUGGAUUGCUGUGAAUUGGGCGUGAGCCUGGUUUGCGGUGAGAAGGGGAGCGAACUUGGGCGUUUAGAGGAAGUAAAAGUCGUANCA